CAGAAAUCCAUAUGUAUAUACAGGGAUUAAAGGAGAGAUAAUAAGUGAAGUAAAACACUUAUAAAACUGAUUGACACAAAUUAAGUGUCAACCCAGACAGACUAAGACAAAAACAGAAUGUCUAGCUAGAAGUAUUGGCCAAUAGGUAGACUUGGGCAAGUCACUGGAAACUUCUUACAAUUAAAGGAACGAUUCAGUGUUGCAGUAUAAUUGUAGCAACUUGUAUAUAUAAUGCCAGAAACCCAGAUUGUAUUCGUCCAAUACUGAUUGAACAGAAUGUAUGAGUAGAGGACUAUCAACAAAAAUAGAUAGAGCUAGACAAACGAAGAGGUGUCAUAUCUGCCUGUAAAUAAUUUUUCUAUUUUUUUUAUAGUGUUUCUCUCCUUUCUUACAUCCGCACUAACAUAAAUCACAAUUGGGAAGCCCCAUAGUUGCUUUUGCCAGGUGUCUCGGGUUGAUCAAGAAAGAUUCCACACAAUGUGUCCAUUCGUGGAUGAGGCUUCUGACAAAACGUAGAAACCACCUUAGCUAUCAUAAUCAUACAAAAAAGGGGUUUACCCAACUAGUUUAUACAAG
Non-coding RNA from Pelobates cultripes (western spadefoot toad), 576 nucleotides. The record is from the annotation of a GenBank genome assembly. NCBI's taxonomy places the organism in Eukaryota, Metazoa, Chordata, Amphibia, Anura, Pelobatidae.